This 371-nucleotide ribosomal RNA is filed under the name uncultured bacterium. RNAcentral describes it as "bacterial SSU rRNA". It matches the Rfam family "Bacterial small subunit ribosomal RNA", at positions 527 to 896 of the family's 1533-position model. The record is from RNAcentral.
GAACCGUACAAACGUUAUUCGGAAUCACUGGGCUUAAAGGGUGCGUAGGCGGCGGUGCAAGUUGGGUGUGAAAUCCCUCGGCUCAACCGAGGAACUGCGCUCAAAACUGCAUUGCUCGAGGGAGAUAGAGGUGAGUGGAACUUAGGGUGGAGCGGUGAAAUGCGUUGAUAUCCUAAGGAACACCAGUGGCGAAAGCGACUCACUGGGUCUCUUCUGACGCUGAGGCACGAAAGCUAGGGUAGCGAACGGGAUUAGAUACCCCGGUAGUCCUAGCCGUAAACGAUGAGCACUGGGUUGAAGGGUCCCUCAUAGCCCUCCAGCCGUAGCGAAAGUGUUAAGUGCUACGCCUGGGGAGUAUGGUCGCAAGGCUG